AAUUCGAUUAGAGUUUGAUCCUGGCUCAGGACGAACGCUGGCGGCGUGCUUAACACAUGCAAGUCGAACGGAGAUUAUGGAUGAAGCUUGCGAUUCCAUAAUUUUAGUGGCGGACGGGUGAGUAACGCGUGGGCAACCUACCCAUAAGAGGGGGAUAACAGCUGGAAACGGCUGCUAAUACCGCAUACGCUGGUUAAGACGAUGUUUUGAUCAGGAAAGGUGGCCACUGAAAAUGCUACCGCUUAUGGAUGGACCCGCGUCUGAUUAGCUAGUUGGUAGGGUAAAAGCCUACCAAGGCGACGAUCAGUAGCCGGCCUGAGAGGGUGAACGGCCACACUGGGACUGAGACACGGCCCAGACUCCUACGGGAGGCAGCAGUGGGGAAUAUUGCGCAAUGGGGGAAACCCUGACGCAGCGACGCCGCGUGAGCGAAGAAGGCCUUAGGGUUGUAAAGCUCUGUUCUAUGGGACGAACGACUGGAGCAGUAACACGGCUUCAGAAUGACGGUACCAUAGGAGGAAGCCCCGGCUAACUACGUGCCAGCAGCCGCGGUAAGACGUAGGGGGCGAGCGUUGUCCGGAAUUACUGGGCGUAAAGAGCACGUAGGCGGGUAUUUAAGUCAGGUGUGAAAUACCGUGGCUCAACUGCGGGGCUGCACCUGAAACUGGGUAUCUUGAGGGCAGGAGAGAGCAGUAGAAUUCCUGGUGUAGCCGUCAAUUCCUUUGAGU
This 728-nucleotide ribosomal RNA is filed under the name uncultured bacterium. RNAcentral describes it as "bacterial SSU rRNA". It matches the Rfam family "Bacterial small subunit ribosomal RNA", at positions 1 to 696 of the family's 1533-position model. The record is from RNAcentral.